RNAcentral lists this ribosomal RNA (124 nucleotides) under Paraburkholderia sp. BL21I4N1. Lineage: Bacteria; Pseudomonadati; Pseudomonadota; Betaproteobacteria; Burkholderiales; Burkholderiaceae. The record is from RNAcentral.
ACAAGUCAUGCCUGAUGACCAUAGCGAGUCGGUACCACCCCUUCCCAUCCCGAACAGGACCGUGAAACGACUCCACGCCGAUGAUAGUGCGGAUUACCCGUGUGAAAGUAGGUAAUCGUCAGGC